Molecule: long non-coding RNA, 857 nt
Filed under: Gallus gallus (chicken)
Lineage: Eukaryota; Metazoa; Chordata; Aves; Galliformes; Phasianidae
Source: RNAcentral
GGUAUGCUGAGCAAGAAACUCAGUAGAGGAAUAUGUAGUGGUAUCAGUAGUGGAAGACAAAGAAGUUGCAGUGGUAGAAGUUUCAGAGAGAGGAUUUGCAGUGGAAGAUGUGGAGAGAGUUUCAGAAAAUGAAUUUUCUUUGAAUGGGGGGAUCAGUGAUCUAAUUGUGGGUGUUCGUUCUGCAGAAACUACAGCACUAGAUUUGAGGGAAGAGAUAGCAGUCUUUUCAUGGGGAGGAGGAGAAUGAGAGGACGGAAACCAUAUGGGAUGCGGCGGCAAUUCUAUAAUAUACAUUUUUAAUUCUUCAGCAGACAAGGAACAAUACUUCAGUGAUGAACAACAGCACUGUUGAAUUUUGCCUGUUUCUUCUUUCUCUUCUAAAGUGCUUAUGUUCUCUUUCUUAUCCAGCUUUAUUAUGAACUUGCAAUGUGUACUCUGGUUUUCUGAACUGCAUUCCAUAACAGAUGACUCACUCAUUUCUUGCAAGGUUUUGUUGAGCUCUGAUAUUCUCAGUUCUUGUAGGGUUGAGGCUGUAAUUGGAAUAAAGCUUGAAACUUGAUUGUCAAUAGUUUUGUUAUUAAUUACUUCUAUAUUUAGUGAUGUGUUAUUUUCUUUUCUUGAAUGAAAUUCUACCUCGCCCACAUAGAACACUGAGUAAUUACAAACAGAUGAUACGUUGCAUAAAAUGGUUUCUCCAGCUGGUGUUAUAGUGGAGUAAUAGUCAGUGAUGUCAGGAGUUUCAGAAAUGGUUGUUGCAGUUGAUGCUUCUGCAGGUCUGGUGGUUUCUUCCGUAACACAUGGCAAAGAGCUGUCCUCUUCUAUUGUCUUAUUGAACAUCCAAUCCUCCUUUCUCCAGC